ACCCCCUUUCCCUGACCCCCUGCCCUCCUCCGGCGAGCCCGUCGUGAUGGAGACCACCCUGUCGCUGGCCGGAUUGUCGCCACGCUCUCUUCUUGAAACCAUUCCAAUUCGCAUCACGCAAUUCCGGAAAUUCCCGAUCAACCCGGAGGAGUAUCAGAUGAAAAGAGCUCGGAUUCGGUUCUUGAAGAAAACAAGGAUCAGGACGAGGAUCCUCGGUCGGCCGAAGAAGAAAUGAUUCCUCCGGCAGACGGGGGCAUCGACAAAAGAUGACUCCUUUGGGUCAAUUGAGGAGAAAUUGGAACUGGCGAGAACGCGGAUAUCCAAAAGGCGGGAUUUGCUUAAGAACAAGGUGGCUUCAGUGUCAGCGGAGAGGAAGGAGCUGGCGAGGAGGCGGAGGAAAUCCACUGAGAGUGUCAAUUUUUGGAUCGGAGAGAUGUAGGGAGCUGGAGAGGGAGCUCGAGGAGGCCUGCGAGGCUUGAGAGGAUUUUGAGCGGGCAGAGAGGGUCAGCGAGAACCUUGCGGCAGUCGAGAAGGAGAAGGAUGAGCUGCUGGUCAGAUUGAGGCAAGUGGAGUUGGAGUGCGAUUAUGUGGAGUCAAAGAUGCAGGAAGUGCUGGAGUAGCAGAUAGCGGCCGAGGAGGAAAGUGUGGCUGUGCUGGAGCAGUUUGCAAAGCUGGGUCACUUUGGCUCAUGAUAACCAUGUCGCCUCAGAUCGGUGGUUAUCGUGAAUGCCUCGGAUCGGCAUGGUGUCACAGGCUACUUCAAAUUUUCGAGCUGCCGCCACGGCCGCCAACCAUUAUGCAAAGCUGAGGUGUCUGUGCUGUCCGUUUAGCAUACGAGCCACUUUUAUUGCCUCGGCCGACUUAUUUUCUCGACAUGCGCAACAGCUAUUCGCCCUGAAUGAAUAGGUUCUGACGUAACUGACUCUCCUAAUCUUGCAAGAGCAAUUAGGGGCUGGAUUAUUUUGUCCACAAUGGUAUGUCCAAUGCCCUGCAAUCUUGGAAUCGCACGAUCGAACAGCUAUGCAACCAACUGUUUGAUAGCCUUCUAUAUAAAUAACCGAAGCCCCGAGGACCGAAGAUCCUCGUCAGAGCCACAACCUCUAUUUUGGACUUGUUUUGCAGAUUACUCCAGCGCCAGCAACCCUGCGCGAGGUUCAGUCAUCCUCUUUCCGACCUCGACCGAUUUCAACAGCAACAAUAAGUUAAUCAAUUACAUUGGAUUGGGUAACUAACCUCUCAAUCUAGUUAUGCAUACGCAGAAAGAGAUAUGUUCAGAUUAGUGCUUCUUCUACUUGGAAAAAUAGAGGAGGUGUGGAAGGCUUUAGUGCCAACCACUCCCGGCCCCAUAUGUGAGAUCCCAAUGGUGAUGGCAACCCUUCCCCUCUCCAACAGCUACACUGACCGCCGACAGUACAACAAGCCUGGCGACGACAGCCGGCUUGAAGCACUACAAGAAAAUGGACCUUUAACUGAGAUGAUCUGUAUGGAUACUGUUAAUUCUGCAGUUCUGGUUUAAAAAAAUGCUGAAGACACAUCUUCCCAAAAAUUAGAAGAAUGGCAAUCAUCAAUGGAAAUCAUUGGAGAUCAAGAAGCUAGAGAUGGAAAUUGAAUCAUGUCUACUAUUUGAGGCACGUUUGGUUUUGAAACAUGCAACAGAUAGUUUGGUUGAAGAUGACGAGAAGGAAAAAGAAUGCUGACGAGAAAAGGGUAUAGCCUAGCAAAGGAAUUGGAUGAACUAUUAACCUUGGUGUGAUUGAAGGAAGCAGAGAUUGCUGAGAGCCUGAGAAUAAUUCUCAAAUUCAAAAAGUUGAGAAAAGAAUUUCUAAUGUGGUUCCAAGUUUCAUGAGACAAUCUAGUAUCAAUUUCAAGCAUGACAACCUGCAGACAGUCCUUUUGAAGGUUGAGUUAGAAAGUGAGGCAUUAUUAGUGAAAAAGAAGGAAAUUGAUGAAUUUAUUUAUCUAGCAGAAUAAAGGAGGUUGAAAUUGAUGGAACUUGCUAGUGUUUCUGCUGAUGAAGCGAAAACUUGUAGGACUUGGUUGGGUUGAGAAAGAGUUUGGCAGCUUCCAUUCUGAAGUCCAGGGUAGAUAAAGCAAAGCUGGCAAAGAUGGAAGAGAAUUUUGGAGGACAUCCAAAUACUCAAACAACAUAUCUCUGCUUCAAGAACUACUCUGCAGGAACUAUCAUCAUCGAGGACAAUCAUCGAGGAAGAAAUUGUUUCAUUUUAAGUAGAGAAUAAACUUUAUUGACAAAAGAGGCCCUGAGCUGGAUGCGGAAAAGAAAGUUGCCGCUGCAGCAUGAAAUUUCAAGGAAGCGGGGCGAAUAGCUGCUGAGGUGAAGGCACUGAAUAUUGAAAAGGAAGACUUAAAAAUUAAAAGGGGGAAGGCUGUUUUAGACCUGGAGAAGUUAGAGGAGGAUAUGAAAAGUGUCCUUGACAAAAUACAGAAGAGCCAAAUGCUAAUUUCACAAAAAUAAAAAGGGGCAGCCAUGACAACUUUUAAGAGGCUCCACUUGGUGGCUGCUGCUGCUAGGGCAGCAGCUCUUAAAAUAGGUGAUGAUGAAGAAGUCAGCAUAUUACUCAAGGAGGCUGAAAGUGCAGAAUGCAAGGCAAGGGAGUUUCAAGAAGGCUACGACCUUGAAUCAGAAGACAAGGAGACAUUGGACCAUUUUGUUUCGAUAGCAUAUAUUGCCAAUCUUGGAGAACAGCAUUUAGCUGAAACGGCUUCAUCUUAAAACUACCUGUAGCCAAGCCAGUGGAUGACAACUAUAGCUGGUCAUAAUCCAGUCUGAAGUGCAAUGUGCUAAACUUGCCAGAUUGAUUGGAACUUUUCUUCAAAGAUAGAUCAUGGAGUCCAAUCAUUUUCAGUUGCGACUGAUCUUUUUAGGCAUUUUUGUUAGCACGAGCAAGUCCUUUUGUUUCUUAAAUCGAGAUAUGAAGCAGCUUGAGAUUUUAUUUUUUUUUCUUAUUUUGUUUAUAUUUGAGCUUGGGUGUCUAUGCUUUUCACCCAUUUAGUUUUAUAGUUGAGUCAAUUUGUAACUUUAAUUUCAGUAAACUUAAAUUGUAUGCACUGGAUGAUUUGCACAUAUCAAAAUCACGGUAAAACAUUCAAGAUUAAAUCUUAUAUGUUA
This is a non-coding RNA of Elaeis guineensis (African oil palm), 3127 nucleotides long. The record is from RefSeq and is a predicted model, not a curated record. Lineage: Eukaryota; Viridiplantae; Streptophyta; Magnoliopsida; Arecales; Arecaceae.